Molecule: ribosomal RNA, 253 nt
Filed under: uncultured bacterium
Lineage: Bacteria
Description: partial 16S ribosomal RNA
Rfam family: Bacterial small subunit ribosomal RNA
Source: RNAcentral
UACGGAGGGGGCAAGCGUUGUUCGGAAUUAUUGGGCGUAAAGCGUAUGUAGGCGGCUAAGUAAGUCAGGCGUGCAAGCCCGUGGCUCAACCACGGAAUUGCGUUUGAAACUGCUUAGCUUGAGUACAGGAGAGGAAAGCGGAAUUCCCAGUGUAGCGGUGAAAUGCAUUGAUAUUGGGAAGAACAUCUGUGGCGAAGGCGGCCCCCUGGAUCGAUACUGACGCUAAGGUGCGAAAGCGUGGGGAGCAAACAGG